RNAcentral lists this ribosomal RNA (281 nucleotides) under Amblyomma variegatum (tropical bont tick). RNAcentral's name for it is "partial large subunit ribosomal RNA". Lineage: Eukaryota; Metazoa; Arthropoda; Arachnida; Ixodida; Ixodidae. The record is from RNAcentral.
ACAAAGGUAUUGAAAUAAGACUUUAAUUGAGUGCUAAGAGAAUGGAUUAACGGUAAAAUUCUUUUUUAAUUUCAAAAAUUGAAGUUAUUUUUGUUAGUGAAGAAACUACAAUAAAAAUUAAGGACAAGAAGACCCUAAGAAUUUUAAAUAAUUUAAAAAAAAAAUUUUUUUUUUAAAUUAUUUUAAUUGGGGCGAUUAAUAAAAAUAAGAAACUUUAUUUCUCCAAAAAAAUGAACCAUUAAUAAUGGCCAUAUGAAAAAAAUACUCUAGGGAUAACAGCG